AUGGAGUUGUUCAGCACAAAGUUGAAUAGUGGGUCUGUGCUUGCCCAUACAGAACCAGAUUGCACAGGAACAACAGUAAUUCCUCCAGGGAAUCCCAACAACUCGAUGGAAGAUGGAUAACCAAAAAUUGAUGGUGUCAAGGAUAGGUUCAGCUGCUUCAGCAUCAUCCCUAUUAAGGAUGACCUCAGUACACUAAGGGCCGGCAAACUUAUCGAAGCAUCUUUUGGAUAA
This 231-nucleotide ribosomal RNA is filed under the name Triticum aestivum (bread wheat). RNAcentral's name for it is "partial small subunit ribosomal RNA". Lineage: Eukaryota; Viridiplantae; Streptophyta; Magnoliopsida; Poales; Poaceae. The record is from RNAcentral.